Molecule: ribosomal RNA, 253 nt
Filed under: uncultured bacterium
Lineage: Bacteria
Description: partial 16S ribosomal RNA
Rfam family: Bacterial small subunit ribosomal RNA
Source: RNAcentral
UACGUAGGGGGCAAGCGUUGUCCGGAUUUAUUGGGCGUAAAGAGCGUGUAGGCGGCCAGGUAGGUCAGCUGUGAAAACUCGAGGCUUAACCUCGAGACGCCGGCUGAAGCCCUCUGGCUAGAGUCCGGAAGAGGAGAGCGGAAUUCCUGGUGUAGCGGUGAAAUGCGCAGAUAUCAGGAAGAACACCCGUGGCGAAGGCGGCUCUCUGGGACGGUACUGACGCUGAGACGCGAAAGCGUGGGGAGCGAACAGG